This 159-nucleotide microRNA precursor is filed under the name Citrus sinensis (sweet orange). RNAcentral's name for it is "miR477c stem-loop (csi-MIR477c)". Its record names the gene csi-MIR477c. The record is from miRBase by way of RNAcentral. Lineage: Eukaryota; Viridiplantae; Streptophyta; Magnoliopsida; Sapindales; Rutaceae.
CCAAAGCAGUAGAGUCGUUCACUCUCCCUCAAGGGCUUCGCCACAAUCCAAAUCAUGCUGAACAGGUGGGUGGGUUGAUGCUGAAGUCCUUGGGGUUGAGUGAUCGACGCCUGUUUUUUAACUCGCUAAUGACGAUCGCAGAAGACAACUCGAAGGCUA